Non-coding RNA from Pelobates cultripes (western spadefoot toad), 4635 nucleotides. The record is from the annotation of a GenBank genome assembly. Lineage: Eukaryota; Metazoa; Chordata; Amphibia; Anura; Pelobatidae.
UUCUUGAGUUAAGGCAUUCUCUGACUGGAGCAAAUUCCCAAUAUCUGUUCUGCAACUUUCGUGAUUAUUUAUUUGUCUCCCUCUUAGGCACCCGGAUCAUUUAUGAUCGCAAGUUUCUGUUAGACCGUCGCAAUUCUCCAUUGGCACAGACUCCACCCCGCCGUUUGCCAGAUAUUCCUGGGGUUACCAGCCCCAUUACGGUUGCAGCAGAAUCCAAAGUAGAAACCAACAACUUAAACAAUCAUGACAGAAAGACUGCUGUUGGUAAGUGUAUUUGUGUCUCUGCAAAAAAAAAAUUGAGGUCCUUGCACCUUUUUCUUUAUUAAAAUUUACUAAUUGUGCCUUAUUUGUGCUCAUUACAUUUUUCUGUUUGUUUUUAGGAGAUGAUGCUCAAUUUGAAAUGGACAUCUGAUCUACUGGAUGUUUGGCAAGAUCUCCCAAAACUUGCGUGUACCUGACUUGGCCAAUCGGAUCAUUUAAUGAGAAACCUGUCUACAGCGCAGUUUUGAGUUUAGAAACCUGCCCUUCAUGGUGCCAAAGGUCAACGCAAACAAGCUCCCAUUUUGUUUUUCCUCUUUCCAUUCCCCUUUCCCCCCCACCUUUCCCUUCUAACUGCCGAGACUAUUCCCACCUCAACUAGCAGCAAGUGUGGUGGUUCUGGAGAGACUUGUGACACGAUUCUAAAUGGCUUGAUGUUGGCAAGUGGGGAAAAAAAGAUUAUAGUUUGCCAAUGUGUACUAUAGCGAUCUUACAAAAGAAAUAUAUAUGUAAAUGGUUGGUGACAGGAUUGAAAAAUGUACACCUCCUUUAAUGCUUACUUUACGCCGUUAUUUUUUUUAAAUGUUUGGCAGAGUAAUGAAGCCAAUGUGGAUUUGCUUUUUUGACCUCCCUAAAGGCUCAUACCUUUAAAUGAUAUUUUGUAAAUCUUUGACUAGUUCUUAGGUGCUGUAAAUACCACCAGGGACCUCUCUAUGCUACCUUUUCGUUAUCACCAGACUUGUCAUUUAAAGUAUGACACCUUAAGAUAACUGCCUGGUCUUUGCAUCAUUUUAAGAAUUGUUUUCCGAUCAGCUCUCUUCCAUGCCCUUGCUUAUCUUUUUGUAAGGUAAACUUUGGUCAGUUUUGUAACUUUUACAAAUUAAUUUUUUUUUUUUUUUUAAUAGUUUGGUUUCUUGCGAUCAAAAAAGAACCUAAUCUUCCCUUAUUACUGAUGUUCUUUUCUGUUGUGCAAUUAACAAAAGGGCAAUAUAAAUGGAAGUAGGCCUUUAAGCAUUAAGGUAGUCGAUUGUUAAUUUGGAGUCAUCCUUCCAGAGGUGUAAUGAAUUUUCUACAUUCAUUUAUGGUCAGUAUGUUUGCUACUGUUUCACUUCUCAGUAGAUAUCAGUAUCUUGACAUGGUCACUGAUAGAAAGGUGUUUCUAGAAUAAGCACUUUUUUUUUUUUUUUUUUCUGCUUUUCUCUCCUUUCCCAACUGUUGAGGACAAUCGACAAGCAAAUCAUGUAACUAGAUGAAGGCAAAGUAGAGGGGAUUAGACCUGAACAAAAUCGAUGGAUGGAUACUUUUUUAGGUCCGAUCUAAGAAAAUAUUAAUAAAGUUUACCUCCAUGCCUGCUUACACAUUACAUGUUUCUUUAACGUGAUUUGGUGUUUCUCUUGUCCACUUUCAAAUUCAAUCAGCCAGUGUCCAAAUUUCAUUAUCCGAAUGGAGCGGCAUUGAGGCAAAAUGCAUUGGCCCUAUAUGAUCACUUUUCCUUUUUUUUUUUUUUUUUUAAGUUUUCUUUUUCAGACUGAAUUGAUCAUAAGGUGCUGAUAAAAGUCUCAGGCUGUGCUGAGUUGCUGUUUUUGAAUGUAGGAUUUUAUUUUAUUUUUUUUCCCUUGUUUGCUUGGAAUCAAUUUGAACUAUACAAAAUAAACAAUUGUGCUCGAUAGAGCACAAUCUUAUUGGUUGGUAAUCUUCUAGAAGUACAUCUUUCUUGUAUAUCUAAUUCUUGUUUUUUGUUUUGUUUUUUACUCUGUGAUUAAGGGUCAUACACAUGGUAUUGAGACAAUAUUGACACCAGGCUGCCUGUUACUGUGUGUCAAGCAAGCAAACCUGAACUGCAUAGUAAUGACAGAUAAUUCUGUUAUUACCCAAUAUUUGCAAUUACUUUUCAAUUUUCUAGAAUUUCUCAGUUCACUGAAUAAACACUUGAGCAUUUGGCACGUUUACUGCAGUUGAAAAUAGGAAUCUUCCACAAAAAAGCAUUUCUUUUUAAUGCCAGCCUAAAAAAGUAAUCUAUUCAAAAUUGCUGUUUUAGCAGCUAACAUUCAGUUAAAGGCACAACUUAGGCAACAAAACUUCUACUACUCAGUGUAAUGCUAUGUCGCCUCAAAUUUCUGGACCAUGGUUUUACAUAAAACUAUUUAGAAAUGAUUUAAAGAGACACUCUACAGCGCCCACGGGCUGCCUCCUUCUCAACAUUGAUUGUCUCAGCAUGCUGAUCUAACCCAUCCAAUUUCUCUCAGCCAGUGAUUGUUGUCUAGGUUGGUUGAAGUUGACUUUUAAAAUGCAGAAGUGUUCCACAUUCUCAAGGUGGUUGUGAAGGAGUUAGUCUGUGGUGGACUGUUCCAGGUUUAUCAAGCCUCUUCUAAAUGGUUUGACAUAAUACUGGAUGGCUCACAGCCACAUUGCAGCUACAAAGAGCUGUACUAGAUAAGUUGCUGAUAUGUUUACUUAACAAAAACACACACAAACACUGUUUGCUUUAAAGGUACAUUUAUAACUCAAAACUAGGUGCUCAAAUUUUAUAAACAUUUUUCAUUAAAGGGACACUGUAGGCCCUCAAACCGCUUUAGCUCAUUGAAGUAUUCUGGGUGCAAUGUCCCUUAACCCUGCAAUAGUAAUUAUUGCAGUUAUUGAGAAAUUGCAAUCAUUACUGUUCAGGGUUAACUCCAUCUCUAGUGACUGUCUACCAGACAGCCACUAGAGGGACUUCCUGAAUUGAAACAGACUUUUGGUCCGGUAUCUGACGCUGGACGCCUUCACGCGUCAUAUCCAUUUAUUUAUUUUUCCCAUAGGGGGAAAUUCUAAUGUGAGUGUGACCAUUUCCUGGCAAGCGCAUUAGAUCUCUCCAGCUGGCGGGGCAGACGCAUGCGUGGCAAUGGGAGGGUGGGCGGAGCCUGAUCCAGCGCCAAGGGACAUCUGCGCUGGAUUCAGGUAAGUGACUGCAGGGGUUUUAACUCAUUCAGCCCUGAGGAAGAGAGGGGGGCACUUUAGGAUUCUAUAGUGCCAGGAAAACUGCUUUGUUUUCCUGGCACUAUAGAAUCCCUUAAAGAUGUAACCGUGUGCUAGAGGAAGUCCUUAUAAAAGACUAUGCAGGCACAUAUUCUGACAUCAGUGUUUGGAGAAGGUUGACCGCAUGACUUGUGAGCCUUAACAAUGCAUGGUUGUAAAAUAAAGCACUUGCCUCGCUUAUGGCUGGAGGCAGCUAUUACCUUUUUGCUAAUUAGCAAAUCAACAAUGCAAUUGGUUCUAGCAGAAAAGGAAUUAAUUUUAAAUAAAUUAUAUUUUUGGUGAGCGAUUUCUUUUUAACUUUUGGGCUUAUUGUUGCAACUUAUUGUGACAUGCUCCUUGCAACCACAGAAUGUAUCUUAAACAUGUACUGAUGCCUAGAAGAAAACAAUUGUGGCAAAUGUUAAAACCAAAGAAAAGUCACUUGCGCACAAUCCCUAUGCACAUUUAAAUAUCUUAAGGUUUUUUUGGGUCAUUUUUUAAUGGUCACGUUUUUAAAAAUGUGCAUAGGAUUUUUGGGUAGGGUGCAAAAAAAUAUAUAUUGUGUUGGGGCUGAUGUGUACUAUGGUCAUUGCUGCCACCCAGGAGUAAUGGUAGUUUGAGUGCAGGGCUUAAUUUUGUAGGUUUGUAAUUGUGGCAAAUUGCUCACGGGCAGUAGGUUAUGGGUCUUGAGUAAUAGUUACUAAAAGCAAUCAUAUUGCUCCCCAACCGCUCUAAAAUAUGGGUGCAGAAGUUUGGAUUUGACAUAUUUUUUUUAUUUUUUAAAGAUGAAUGUAUUUUGACCCAUAUCUUUUUGUAGCCUUUCCUCUUUUCAGUACACACUUAAGUCUGUGUAGCAGCCAUAUUUUAAAUGAUUUUUUUUUUUUUUAACUCCUGUUUCUGUAACAAACCGCUAGUGAGUCUCUGCCAAUCCUGAUUAAGUCCCCGUAUUAAGAAAUUGCAUUUUAAGAUUCAAAAGUUCAAACUAUGCAUGGUUCUUUGUGGAUGGCCAUUUUUAGAAGUCCUCUAACUAAAGGAUCACAUAGCCCAAAGAUGAUAUAAACCUGUGUGUUCACUACAAAUAAUAUAGGUUAUAAUAUAUGUAAUCUUGUAUUUUCAAUAAAAAAAAAUUAUGCUGGGAAAUCUGCAAAAGUAAGAUUGCAGUAAAUUGUAAUAUCACCUAUAAAACCUUUUUUAUACCACCAUAUCAUGGCCCUUUGUAAUUGAUUCUAAGGCAGAACUGAUCUUGUACAAAAGACCUUGAUAGAGUAGGCGUUGGGGGUUAUGUACAACGUGACUUACUUGAGUGCAGUUCUAAAUGUGGAACAGUCUCUUUAUGUAAAACUAUAGAAUGUUCCAAUUUUAGAUUAUAUAUAUAUAUAUAUA